Molecule: ribosomal RNA, 474 nt
Filed under: uncultured bacterium
Lineage: Bacteria
Description: bacterial SSU rRNA
Rfam family: Bacterial small subunit ribosomal RNA
Source: RNAcentral
ACUCCUACGGGAGGCAGCAGUGGGGAAUAUUGCACAAUGGGCGCAAGCCUGAUGCAGCCAUGCCGCGUGUAUGAAGAAGGCCUUCGGGUUGUAAAGUACUUUCAGCAGUGAGGAAGGUGGGUAUGUUAAUAGCAUAUUCAUUUGACGUUAGCUGCAGAAGAAGCACCGGCUAACUCUGUGCCAGCAGCCGCGGUAAUACAGAGGGUGCAAGCGUUAAUCGGAAUGAUUGGGCGUAAAGGGUGCGUAGGUUGUUAUUUAUGUCUCGUGUGAAAGUCAAUGGCUCAACCAUUGAAAGCCAUGAGAAACUGGAUAACUAGAGUACUGUAGAGGGUAGUGGAAUUUCUGGUGUAGCGGUGAAAUGCGUAGAUAUCAGAAGGAACAUCAGUGGCGAAGGCGACUACCUGGACAGAUACUGACACUGAGGCACGAAAGCGUGGGUAGCGAACAGGAUUAGAUACCCUGGUAGGAUAGCGU